GACGAACGCUGGCGGCGUGCUUAACACAUGCAAGUCGAACGGAAAGGCCCUGCUUUUGUGGGGUGCUCGAGUGGCGAGCGGGUGAGUAACACGUGAGUAACCUGCCCUUGACUUUGGGAUAACUUCAGGAAACUGGGGCUAAUACCGGAUAGGAGCUCCUGCUGCAUGGUGGGGGUUGGAAAGUUUCGGCGGUUGGGGAUGGACUCGCGGCUUAUCAGCUUGUUGGUGGGGUAGUGGCUUACCAAGGCUUUGACGGGUAGCCGGCCUGAGAGGGUGACCGGCCACAUUGGGACUGAGAUACGGCCCAGACUCCUACGGGAGGCAGCAGUGGGGAAUAUUGCACAAUGGGCAGAAGCCUGAUGCAGCAACGCCGCGUGCGGGAUGACGGCCUUCGGGUUGUAAACCGCUUUCGCCUGUGACGAAGCGUGAGUGACGGUAAUGGGUAAAGAAGCACCGGCUAACUACGUG
Molecule: ribosomal RNA, 468 nt
Filed under: uncultured bacterium
Lineage: Bacteria
Description: partial 16S ribosomal RNA
Rfam family: Bacterial small subunit ribosomal RNA
Source: RNAcentral